This is a long non-coding RNA of Canis lupus familiaris (dog), 2286 nucleotides long. RefSeq lists it as uncharacterized. The record is from RefSeq and is a predicted model, not a curated record. The transcript is spliced from 3 exons. Lineage: Eukaryota; Metazoa; Chordata; Mammalia; Carnivora; Canidae.
AAAUGAGGAGGAUGGCUGGAGGCUCCUUUCUCUCCAUGUGAGGACUCCGGAGACCUACCCCCUCCCCCAGCCGGGCCCACUGGUCCUCCCAGCAGGGAGGGGAGGGCCAUGGUGACCUCCACCCCAGGCAGGGCUGUUCCCAGGCCCAGGGAAACCUGAAACCUUGUGUCCAAGUUCUUCCUUGAAACCUUAACUCCCACGGAGGCGCCGGUGUCAGCGGGGGUCCUUUGGGAGGAGAAGAGGUCCUGAGGUCAGCCCGGCAUGAAGCCAGUGUCCUUGCACACAGGCUGGAGAGCUGGCUAGAAGGUGGCCUCGCUCUGUGAUCGCGGGUACUCACCCCUGCCUGAGGGUACUGGCGGGGGGCGAUCGUUGGUGGGGGGGCUUGGUGAGCAGGUGCGCCAACUACGGCUCCGUCUUCUGCACGUUGUCUGAGCACAUCCUGGCUCCGACCUGCUGUGGGGCCCCCUGUCCUCUGUGGACGUGCCUGUGAGGCCCACGGCCCCAGCCGGAAGUGUGGGUGAUGGUGUAUUGGUGAAUCCACGGAAACGACGGAGGGAUUCCAGCAUCCACCCCUGGGGCUUCUCUCUUCCUCUCUGCUUCUUGAUCUGGGGCGCCACCAGUGCACACACUCACAGACACACAUGCACACGCCCACACACCUGCCCAGUGCAUGCGUUCACACACACAUGUGCACAUGCACUCUCACAGGAUGCAGGUGCACCCAGAAGCUCCUAGGGUGUCUCCUGAGGCACCGCUGCUGCACCCAGGGCACAGACACAUGCAUGCACAUGCACACAUAUGCGCAGGAUGCAGGUGCACCCAGAAGCUCCUAGGGCAUCUCCCCAGACACCACUGCUGCAUCCAGGGCACACAAACGUAUGCAUAUGCACACAUGCACGUGCACACACACGCACAGGACACAGGUGCACCUGGAAGCUCCUAGGGUGUCCCCCCAGGUGCCAAGCUGUCCGUCCCUCCUGGGGUGAUGGGUCAGCCCGCACUCAGCAUCAGCCUGAACCUGACGACCCCAGGUUGUAAACCUUACCGAUAAUGCGCAUCAACAGGUGGGCACCGAAGAUCAUCUUGUUAUGUCAGCACGUGCUGAUGGACGUCCACACUCAUCUUUGAGAGGCUGAGACUUUUGGACACAGUUGUGGACUGAGUUCAUAGGCUGAGACCUAACCCGCCAACAGAAGGCAACUACGUUUGGAAGGAGGACCGUGACAGGGGUGCUCAGGGGUUGGGCUUUCUGGUAAGAAGAGGAGGUGCUUCCUCCGCCACCCUGGACUCCUCUCCACCCUCAGAGAAGACCUGCAGCAAGGCAGGGCCAAGUCCUCUUGUCGAAGGUGGAAAGGCAGCGUGCGUGCUCCGUUGGAAGGCCCUGCACCCAGUGCACUGUGCCCUGUGACCCGUGGGGGCUUGCAGAGCUUUGCUUCCUUUGGAGGUUCAACGUGGAGUUCUUGGAGCCUAAAGAUAAGGCCAUCUGUCACUUAGCAAGCACGUUGGUCACCUUCCUUUGUACACAGUCGUCAUGACUCCAAAGGGUGCUUGAAAGGGAGACAUUGUCACAGUCUUGAGAAACUGUGGGUAACCAGAGCGUUCAUUCCACGCUGCCCAUGUUUCACCUGGACCUGUGACCUCGGAGGGGUUCGUCCUCAAACUGAGAAAUGGGUAUCUCAUCAUCCUGGCAUCAUCCUUUCCAUUUCACAGGUGUGGAAACUGCCUCGAGGAGGCCGAGGCAAAGUCACACAGGAAAUAGAGACAAACCCACACAUCGCUGUGCCAGGCACCAGGCCAAUUCUCACUCUUGGCCUAGCAGAGAGAGCACAUGUCACACAUGUUCCAGCCAGGACAAGCAAGCAGCUGGUCUGGUCUUCACAGACAAGACACACAGAUGGGAGUAGGAGGGCCUUCCCAGAGAAGAUAGAUGUAUGCUGUCACCAGGUGCUGGCAAAAGGCUCCAUCAGAGGCCUGUGUGGAAGAGGCUGGGAGUGUGCUGAGGCUUUGGAGCCUGGUUCUGUAGGAACAACAGGGAGUCAAACAAGGCCCUGAGUGGUAGACAUGCAUGAAGAGAGGAACCCAGAGCGGAUGGGUGGUCAGGACAGCGGUGGUGUCUGUCAGGAGGUCCCAAGAUGUGGUGGGAGCCCAGUUGGAGGAAGAAGAACUAGAACAAUCCAUGCUCUGAGCCACAGGAAACGUGCAAUGGCAUGAGGUUCAUUUUUAUUUUUUAUUUUAUAUUAUUUUUUUUAAAGAUUUUAUUCAUUUAUUCACAAUAGGCAUAGAGAG